Molecule: non-coding RNA, 575 nt
Organism: Nerophis lumbriciformis (worm pipefish)
Lineage: Eukaryota; Metazoa; Chordata; Actinopteri; Syngnathiformes; Syngnathidae
Source: RefSeq, a predicted model, not a curated record
CCCCCGUGUCGUCACCGUUACCCUUUUGGAAACAAAACAAAGAUCUGAGUUGCAACUUUUUUCACCCCAAAAAAAGGCUAAACCACGAUUUGCGAGGUUCCAGGCUGGCACUGCACUAAGGUGCACUUAUGGAGUCUGUUUAGCUGAUUGGAGAGCCAGCUUCCGCAGCUAGUGGGUCCAUGACGAUGACUUCUGUUUUGUUUGAUCAGCUGUUUUACUGCCUUGCGAGAGGCACCGUUUGGAAACAAUUAAGAACUUGUUGUCAGUCCCUAAUCAGACGGCGCCUUGCUCUGCCUUUUGCUGCAGCAUCACCAAGUUCAUCCGUUACAUAAUGCAACAAUGCUUGCAGCUAGACCGGCUGCAGCCAGCACGGGGGAAACAUUUCAAAAGGCAGACAUAUUUCACAGCAAAUAGAAUGUAAAAAAAAAUAUUCCUCAAUUUACCCCCCGACGCGUGCAAAGAGACUGCAAAAACCCACACUCGGCAUACAAUCAAAAGAGCUACAAACACAGAGCUCCUGUGUACUACUUAUAUUAACAACACAUGCAGUUUACUACCACUAUUAUACACACCUU